GCCGGUUUAGCUCAAUUGGUAGAGCAACUGACUUGUAAUCAGUAGGUUGUCAGUUCAAGUCCGACAGCCGGCA
This 73-nucleotide transfer RNA is filed under the name Wolbachia pipientis. RNAcentral describes it as "tRNA-Thr". It matches the Rfam family "tRNA". From Rfam's summary of the family: Transfer RNA (tRNA) molecules are approximately 80 nucleotides in length. Their secondary structure includes four short double-helical elements and three loops (D, anti-codon, and T loops). RNAcentral also lists the same sequence under 1 other name. The record is from RNAcentral. Lineage: Bacteria; Pseudomonadati; Pseudomonadota; Alphaproteobacteria; Rickettsiales; Anaplasmataceae.